This 256-nucleotide ribosomal RNA is filed under the name uncultured bacterium. RNAcentral describes it as "partial 16S ribosomal RNA". It matches the Rfam family "Bacterial small subunit ribosomal RNA", at positions 524 to 776 of the family's 1533-position model. The record is from RNAcentral.
UACGUAGGGGGCAAGCGUUGGUCCGGAUUUAUUGGGCGUUAAAGAGCGUGUAGGCGGCCACACAGGUCAGCUGUGAAAACUCGAGGCUCAACCUCGAGACGUCGGUUGAAACCGUAUGGCUAGAGUCCGGAAGAGGAGAGUGGAAUUCCUGGUGUAGCGGUGGAAUGCGCAGAUAUCAGGAGGAACACCGAUGGCGAAGGCAGGUCUCUGGGCCACUACUGACGCUGAGAAGCGAAAGCAUGGGGGAGCGAACAGG